RNAcentral lists this unclassified non-coding RNA (22 nucleotides) under Mus musculus (house mouse). RNAcentral describes it as "oocyte_clustered_small_RNA13989". Lineage: Eukaryota; Metazoa; Chordata; Mammalia; Rodentia; Muridae. The record is from RNAcentral.
UGGAGGGGCUCUGCUUACUGGA